AGUCGAACGGCAGCACAGGAGAGCUUGCUCUCUGGGUGGCAAGUGGCGGACGGGCCAGGAUACAUCGGAAUCUACCUUUUCGUGGGGGAUAACGUAGGGAAACUUACACUAAUACCGCAUACGACCUACGGGUGAAAGUGGGGGACCGCAAGGCCUCACGCGAUUAGAUGAGCCGAUGUCCGAUUAGCGAGUUGGAGGGGUAAUGGCCCACCAAGGCGACGAUCGGUAGCUGGUCUGAGAGGAUGAGCAGCCACACUGGAACUGAGACACGGUCCAGACUCCUACGGGAGGCGGCAGUGGGGAAUAUUGGACAAUGGGCGCAAUCCUGAUCCAGCCAUACCGCGUGGGUGAACAACGCCUUCGGGUUGUAAAGCCCUUUUGUUGGGAAAGAAAUCCGUCGAUUAAUACCCGGUGGGGAUGACGGUACCCAAAGAAUAAGCACCGGCUAACUUCGUG
RNAcentral lists this ribosomal RNA (456 nucleotides) under uncultured bacterium. Its description in RNAcentral is "bacterial SSU rRNA". It matches the Rfam family "Bacterial small subunit ribosomal RNA", at positions 60 to 507 of the family's 1533-position model. The record is from RNAcentral.